RNAcentral lists this transfer-messenger RNA (392 nucleotides) under Luminiphilus syltensis NOR5-1B. Its description in RNAcentral is "gamma proteobacterium NOR51-B transfer-messenger RNA". It matches the Rfam family "transfer-messenger RNA". From Rfam's summary of the family: Bacterial tmRNA, also known as 10Sa RNA or SsrA, is named for its dual tRNA and mRNA-like properties. The record is from Rfam by way of RNAcentral. RNAcentral also lists the same sequence under 1 other name. Lineage: Bacteria; Pseudomonadati; Pseudomonadota; Gammaproteobacteria; Cellvibrionales; Halieaceae.
GGGGGCGUUACGGAUUCGACGACGGUAGUAAACCCUAAGGUGCAUGCCGUGAUGGUAGCCAAUCACGUAAAUCCAAAGCUGCAAACUAUUAGUUGCCAAUGACGACAACUACGGUGCCCAACUCGCUGCGUAAGUAGCCUGUGAAAGCACCAUCUAGUGGCUUCGGCCCUAGCGGUCUCUAGCAAGGUUCCAGCCCCGCGUUAGUGACUGUCAUAUAGAACUGGAUCGCAGCAAGGUAGGCUCCGGGCUACGCUGCUAAACAAUUACGGAGAUCGCCAAUCACGUCCUGACCGUUGGGCUGUGUGCGGUUAAAUCAGUAAACGGAAACUAAGCAUGUAGAGCCGAAGGCAGAGCACUGGCGGACGCGGGUUCAACUCCCGCCGCCUCCACCA